AAGUAUGGCUCCAAGCCUGAUGAUGUUAGGAGCAUAAUUGACCUGGUCAAGCACACUUACACCAGAGCUACACAUGUCUACAUGCCACAGCUUCUAGAGCACAUUGGGGAUUAAAAUAAAGAAAGAUCACGUGUAGUUGGGGAAGUAUUCCAAGUAUUGGCUGGCUAUCCCACGCUUCAUCUUCAGUUGUACAAGCCCCCAAUCCAGCCAUCCAUAGUCAAUUUUUUGAUUCCAAAUCAGAAACUUCCCAAAUUGGGCAACCCCUUUCCCAGCCGUCCGUGAUG
This 284-nucleotide long non-coding RNA is filed under the name Phoenix dactylifera (date palm). RNAcentral describes it as "long non-coding RNA (PDAC_LNC006212)". The record is from RNAcentral. Lineage: Eukaryota; Viridiplantae; Streptophyta; Magnoliopsida; Arecales; Arecaceae.